This 124-nucleotide small nuclear RNA is filed under the name Microtus ochrogaster (prairie vole). RNAcentral describes it as "U12 minor spliceosomal RNA (ENSMOCG00000008617.1)". It matches the Rfam family "U12 minor spliceosomal RNA", at positions 27 to 151 of the family's 151-position model. Rfam says of the family: Although the U12 sequence is very divergent from that of U2, the two are functionally analogous. Lineage: Eukaryota; Metazoa; Chordata; Mammalia; Rodentia; Cricetidae. The record is from RNAcentral.
ACAUAGAUUUGGGGUGACACCCAAGUCCUCACUGCUGAUGUGAGAAGAAUUUUUGAUCAGAUAAGGGUUGCCCCCAAGGCAACCCACCUACUUUGUGAGAUGCCUGGGUUCAGUGGUCUGACAU